RNAcentral lists this ribosomal RNA (158 nucleotides) under Ophiostoma ainoae. RNAcentral describes it as "5.8S ribosomal RNA". It matches the Rfam family "5.8S ribosomal RNA". From Rfam's summary of the family: 5.8S ribosomal RNA (5.8S rRNA) is a component of the large subunit of the eukaryotic ribosome. It is transcribed by RNA polymerase I as part of the 45S precursor that also contains 18S and 28S rRNA. Functionally, it is thought that 5.8S rRNA may be involved in ribosome translocation. Lineage: Eukaryota; Fungi; Ascomycota; Sordariomycetes; Ophiostomatales; Ophiostomataceae. The record is from RNAcentral.
AAACUUUCRRCAMCGGAUCUCUKGGCUCUGGCAUCRAUGAAGAACGCAGCGAAAUGCGAUACGUAAUGSGAAUUGCAGAAUUCAGCGAGUCAUCGAAUCUUUGAACGCACAUUGCGCCCGCCAGCAUUCUGGCGGGCAUGCCUGUCCGAGCGUCAUUU